AUUGAACGCUGGCGGCAGGCCUAACACAUGCAAGUCGAGCGGAAACGAAGGGAGCUUGCUCCCAGGCGUCGAGCGGCGGACGGGUGAGUAACACGUGAGAAUCUGCCCAUUAGUGGGGGACAACUCGGGGAAACUCGAGCUAAUACCGCAUAAUCCCUACGGGGGAAAGCAGGGGACCUUUUGGCCUUGCGCUGAUGGAUGAGCGCACGUCGGAUUAGCUUGUUGGUGAGGUAAAGGCCAACCAAGGCGACGAUCCGUAGCUGGUCUGAGCGGAUGAUCAGCCACACUGGGACUGAGACACGGCCCAGACUCCUACGGGAGGCAGCAGUGGGGAAUCUUGCGCAAUGGGCGAAAGCCUGAUGCAGCGACGCCGCGUGAGGGAAGAAGGCCUUCGGGUUGUAAACCUCUUUCAGGUGGGACGAAGCCACUCGGGUUAAUAGCCCAGAGGGUGACGGUACCUCCAGAAGAAGCCCCGGCUAACUUCGUGCCAGCCGCCGCCGUAA
This 503-nucleotide ribosomal RNA is filed under the name uncultured bacterium. Its description in RNAcentral is "partial 16S ribosomal RNA". It matches the Rfam family "Bacterial small subunit ribosomal RNA", at positions 29 to 523 of the family's 1533-position model. The record is from RNAcentral.